This 429-nucleotide ribosomal RNA is filed under the name Acidobacteriota bacterium. RNAcentral's name for it is "Acidobacteria bacterium partial 16S ribosomal RNA". It matches the Rfam family "Bacterial small subunit ribosomal RNA", at positions 355 to 776 of the family's 1533-position model. The record is from RNAcentral. Lineage: Bacteria; Pseudomonadati; Acidobacteriota.
UGGGGAAUUUUGGACAAUGGGGGAAACCCUGAUCCAGCCAUCCCGCGUGUGCGAUGAAGGCCUUCGGGUUGUAAAGCACUUUUGGCAGGAAAGAAACGUCAUGGGUUAAUACCCCGUGAAACUGACGGUACCUGCAGAAUAAGCACCGGCUAACUACGUGCCAGCAGCCGCGGUAAUACGUAGGGUGCAAGCGUUAAUCGGAAUUACUGGGCGUAAAGCGUGCGCAGGCGGUUCGGAAAGAAAGAUGUGAAAUCCCAGAGCUCAACUUUGGAACUGCAUUUUUAACUACCGGGCUAGAGUGUGUCAGGGGGAGGUGGAAUUCCGCGUGUAGCAGUGAAAUGCGUAGAUAUGCGGAGGAACACCGAUGGCGAAGGCAGCCUCCUGGGAUAACACUGACGCUCAUGAACGAAGGCGUGGGGAGCAAACAGG